This 511-nucleotide ribosomal RNA is filed under the name uncultured bacterium. Its description in RNAcentral is "bacterial SSU rRNA". It matches the Rfam family "Bacterial small subunit ribosomal RNA", at positions 29 to 524 of the family's 1533-position model. The record is from RNAcentral.
AGUGAACGCUGGCGGCAGGCCUAAUACAUGCAAGUCGAACGGCAGCACAGCAGAGCUUGCUCUGUGGGUGGCGAGUGGCGGACGGGUGAGGAAUACAUGGGAAUCUGCCCAGUCGUGGGGAUAACGUAGGGAAACUUACGCUAAUACCGCAUGCGCCCUUCGGGGAAAGCCGGGGACCGUAAGGCCUGGCGCGAUUGGAUGAGCCAUGUCGGAUUAGCUAGUUGGCGGGGUAAAGGCCCACCAAGGCGACGAUCCGUAGCUGGUCUGAGAGGAUGAUCAGCCACACUGGAACUGAGACACGGUCCAGACUCCUACGGGAGGCAGCAGUAGGGAAUAUUGGACAAAUGGGCGCAAGCCUGAUCCAGCCAUGCCGCGUGAGUGAAGAAGGCCCUCGGGUUGUAAAGCUCUUUUGUCCGGAAAGAAAAGACGCCGGGGUUUAAAUACCCCUGGUGUCCUGACGGUACCGGAAGAAUAAGCACCGGCUAAACUUCGUGCCAGCAGCCGCGGUAAU